AUGGCUAAAACAACAGCUCCAUCUGUCUAUCCCUUGGUGCCUGGCUGCGGUGUCACGUCUAAAUCCCUGGUGACACUAGGAUGCCUUCUCAAAGGCUAUUUCCCUGAGCUGAUAACCAUAAAAUGGAACUCUGGAUCACUGUCCAACGGUGUGAAAACCUUCCCAGCUGUCCUGCAGUCUGGACUCUACUCCCUCAGCAGCUCAGUGACUGUAUCCUCCAGAACCUGGUCCUCAAAGACCAUCACUUGCAACGUAGAACACCCGGCCAGCAAAACCAAGGUGGACAAGACCAUUGCUCCUGACCUCCCUGGUGGACCAUCCGUCUAUAUCUUCCCCCCAAAGCCCAAGGAUAUACUCAUGAUCUCCCAGAAUGCCAAAGUCACAUGUUUGGUGGUGGACGUGAGCGAGGAUGAUGCAGACAUUCAGUUCAGCUGGUUUGUGGACAACGUAGAAGUACACACAGCUCAGAUGCAGCCCCGUGAGGAGCAGUACAACAGCACCUUCCGGGUGGUCAGUGCCCUCCCCAUUGAGCACCGGGACUGGAUGGCCGGCAAGGAGUUCAAAUGCAAGGUCACCAACAAAGCCCUCCCAGGCCCCAUCGAGAGAAAAAUCUCAAAACCCACAGGGCUAGUCAGAGCACCACAGGUAUAUGUCUUGCCUCCACCAGCAGAGCAGAUGGCCAAGAAAGAGGUCAGUUUGACCUGCAUGGUCACAGGCUUCCUCCCUGAUGACAUCGAUGUGGAGUGGACCAGAAACGGGCAUGUGGAGCAGAACUACAAGAACACCCCACCAGUCCUGGACUCUGAUGGUUCUUACUUCUUAUACAGCAAGCUCAAUGUGCCAAAGAGCAAAUGGGACCAAGGAGAUAGUUACAUCUGCUCAGUGGUACACAUGGGCCUGCACAAUCACCACAUGACGAAGAGCAUCUCCCGGUCUCUGGAGCUGGAACUGGAGGAGACCUGUGUUGAGGCCCAGGAAGGGGAGCUGGACGGGCUCUGGACAACCAUCACCAUCUUCAUCAGCCUCUUCCUGUUCAGUGUGUGCUACAGCGCCUCUGUCACACUCUUCAAGGUAAAGUGGAUCUUCUCCUCAGUGGUGGAGCUCAAGCAGAAAAUCUCCCCUGACUACAGAAACAUGAUUGGGCAGGGGGCCUAGGCCUCUUCCUUUGGGAUCAGCACAGAUUCAUAGUCCCUGCAGUACUCUAUCCAUCCUACUGUGUAGCCUGACAUGGAGGCCACACUGCCCAAUGACAUCACACGC
Non-coding RNA from Grammomys surdaster, 1260 nucleotides. Lineage: Eukaryota; Metazoa; Chordata; Mammalia; Rodentia; Muridae. The record is from the annotation of a RefSeq genome assembly.